CUCUAAGAUAGUUCUAUUACAAAAUCUUUGUGGUACAAGAAAUCGUGGCCGUCAAACCCUACUACCCAAAACCCUAAUUAUCAAACCCUGCACCUAUAAAAGGGUCUCCACAUUUAGGGUUUACUUGUAUAUUUUUGCAACCAAUACAGCCAUGGCGGGUAACUGCGUUGCUUUGGUUCGCCGAAAUUCGUUUUUCCUUCUCGAUCUGUGAUUCCGCAAGAUGGAUUCAGAGCGAUUGCUCUUUCUUUCGCUUGCAUAGUUUCCUUUUAACCCUCUCUGAGAAUUUUUUUAUUUUUUUUAUUAUUAUUUUUACUGUUGUUUUUCUAUUAUUACUAAUAUUUUGAGAAAUUAUCCAUCUUUAUCGUUUUCAUCGAUUUUGUAUGUAUUAUUUUGGCCUUGUUCUCAAAAUAUUCGCAGUGGCCGCCGCCUGUUGCCGGGUUUGAGAGCUGUUCAUAUUCUUCAUUGGAUGAGAGUUUUCUGCAAUGUGUAUUGGGUAUUUAUGUUUUUAACUGGUUGGCAUAAACUGUUAUGUUCUUGUGCUAUGUAGGAUUGGAAUGGCAUCUUUUCAAACUUUGCUGUAUCAUAUACUUGUGAUUUUGUAAAAUUCUUCCUUGGAUGUGUGACCUCUUCUGUCUUUUACUUAUGCCCUAAUGAAAUUUAAGGUGGUAACUCGUUGGAUAUUUUAUUAUUAUUAGUAUUAUGUGCUUAUGUCAAACCUUGAUGCUUAUGAUGACAAAUUCUAAGGCUUGUUUCUCAAAACAUUCGCAGUGGCCGCCUAAGAGCUUUCGCCCACGCCUGGCUAGAGAGCUGUUGCUGCUCUUAUCCUUCCUUGGAUGUCUGAGGCUAUUUAUUUAUUUAUUUAUUUAUUUUUUUAAUGUUUUGGUUGCUCUUACUCUGUGCAUACAUUCCUUCCUUAAUGCAAUGAUUUUUUUUGUUUUUUUGGUGUUUCAUUUAGAAUUGCCAAAAGUAUUUGGUUUCUUUGAUUUUGUUAUCUGAAUAUCAAUGCAUAUGAUGACAUAUCCAAUGGCUUGUUUCUCAAAACAUUCGCAGUGGCCGCCUAAGAGCUUUCGCCUACGCCAGGCUAGAGAGCUGAUGCUGCAUUUAUCCUUCCUUGGAUGUCUGAGGCCUUUAUUGUUUCUGUUGUAUGCAUUAAUUUCUUAAAUAAUGAUUGAAUUUUAUCUUCGUGGUGUUGCUUCUAGAAUUUGCUUAUUAUUAUUUUUUUUGGUUUGUUUGAUUUUUUUUUAGUUAAACAUCAAUGCUUAUGAUGAUAAAUCCAAAGGCUUGUUUCUCAAAACAUUCGCAGUGGCCGCCUAAGAGCUUUCGCCUACGCCAGGCUUGAGAGCUAGUGCUGCUCUUAUCCUUCCUUGGAUGUCUGAGGCUUUAACUUUUCCUGUUGUGUGCAUUAAUUUCUUAGUUAAUGACUGGAUUUUUGUUGAUCAUGAGUGCUUAUGAUGAUAAAAAAUCCAAAGGCUUGUUUUCUCAUAACAUUCAUAGAAUUUGUGAAGUGCUUUUCUCUUUUCUUUUUUUUCUUUCUUUUUUUUUUUGGGUUUAUUUUGUUAUGAACUGAUGCUUAUGAUGACAAAUUCGAAGGCUUGUUUCUCACAACAUUCGCAGUGGCUGCCUAAGAGCUUUCGCCUUUGCCAGGCUAGAGAGCUGGUGCUGCUUCUAUCCUUCCUUGGAUGUCUGAGGCGCAUUCCUUUUGAUUUCCUGACAUUUGCAGUUGCCAAUUGAGUGCUUUUGCCUUCUAGUGCGUUUGAGAGCUUUUGCUUCUUUUAUACUUCUUUGAAUGCCUUGAGAUAAAGUUUUUCAUGCCUGUAUAAUCAACUAAUCUCAUAAUGUUAAUAAAAAUCUUAAAGUUGUACGAUAA
Ziziphus jujuba (common jujube) is the source of this 1867-nucleotide long non-coding RNA. RefSeq lists it as uncharacterized. NCBI's taxonomy places the organism in Eukaryota, Viridiplantae, Streptophyta, Magnoliopsida, Rosales, Rhamnaceae. The transcript has 2 exons. The record is from RefSeq and is a predicted model, not a curated record.